This is a long non-coding RNA of Thunnus maccoyii (southern bluefin tuna), 207 nucleotides long. RefSeq lists it as uncharacterized. NCBI's taxonomy places the organism in Eukaryota, Metazoa, Chordata, Actinopteri, Scombriformes, Scombridae. The record is from RefSeq and is a predicted model, not a curated record. The transcript has 3 exons.
CUCUCUGUGUGGGGAACAUGACAGCCGGACCAAAGCUCAGAGGAGGAAUUCAGAAAACCCAGAUUUACCUGAAUCUGAACACAGCUGUGUGUCCAUGAAGAGUGACAGGUCUAUGGAACAUCCUUUACUCUUCAAAGAUGGACUCAAUUCUCCUGAUCAGAGAGUGGACCAGGAGAGCUCAGAGGUUCCCAUUGGUCAGUCUGCCCA